GAAACAUUACUAUGAUUCUAAGGUUGGAAACUAUGCAAACUGUUGGAAAAAACUGGAAUUGACUGGCUGUGUUUGGUUUGGACAACUCAUCGAAAUGAGAGGGAGCCCAGCACGAGUUCUGCUUGAGUGAUGUCUGAAAAUCUGGCCUCUCAGUCUACCUUAAAAGCCUACCUAUUUGGCUUUCACUAGAGUUCAGAUACAUAAAACAAAUAUCUUUGCUUUGGCUUCCCUUGAGUCAUAUCAAUCUACACCUCAUCAAGAAUAUGAAGUUUGGAAGAACAAAGAAGCAAUUGAGCAUCCUAAACUCAACGUAGGGCAAGUAACAUGGACAUUGAUACACCAAGUUCCUUCUUGUUUUUCCUUGAAAGUUGGCUUGAUGAAUGUAUUCUGCAGGGAUUUUAAAGGUGUGGAAAUGAAGCAGACAUCAAGGACUGCUGCAGUUUACUGGGGGUCCACUCCAGACCUUAGUUGCUUCAGUUUUUCCCUGUACCUGGAGGUAUCGUCAGUGAAGCCUGCAAAACAGCAAAGAUGGCAGCCUGCUCCUUCCUCUGGAAGCUCCAUCCCAGGGAUGCACUGACCUGUUGCCAGAAGGAACAUGCCUGUAGGAGGUGGCUGGAGACCCCUGCUGGGAGGUCCCACCCACUCGGGAGGAAUGGGAUCAGGGACCCACCCCAAGAAGCCCUCUGGCUGCCCUUUGGUAGAGUAGGUGCCAGGAGACCCUUCCUUGCCUGGACCAUUUGUAUUUUCCAAAGUUGGCAGGCUGGAAUGGCUGAGUUUACCAAACUGCAGAGAUGACAGCUGCUCUUCCCCUGUGAGCUUCAUUCCAGGGAGAGAUCAGAACUUUGUCUGUAGAACCCUUGCUUGUGUGGCUGAAGCCCCUGCAGGGAGGACUUGCCCAGUGAAGAGGAAUAGAUUGAGGUACCGCUUAAAGAAGCAGUCUGGCCAUGAUCUGGCAAGGCAGCUGUGCUGUGCUGCAGGGAACCUCUCCUUGCUCGAACUUCUUGUAUUCUUCAAAGCUAGCAGGCUGAAACCAAUAAAUUUAAAUUUAAAUAGGUAAAAAUAAGUAAAUAAAGAUAAAGAAAAAUAAAUUGACUGAUUUAUUCUGCCUUCAGGAGCUCUUAGAUGAUGUAGGAAAACAAAUAAUACUGUACAAUCAAAGUCGAAAUUCCUUAAGCAGAGGGUCUUAUGAGAACACAAAGGGAAGGCAACUGGAGCUUUACAGAUGACUUCCUAGACUAGAGAUACCUGAUGUGGGUCUUUAGGGUUAAGUCAUUAAUAGCAAGGCCAAGUAGAGGAAGAGCAUAUCCUACAGAGAAAAAAAGAAUAAGCAAAGGCUGGCUGUUGAGAGAAUUGCAAGUGCUUAGUAUGACUAUAGCGGUAGUCUCAACAGGAGCAGGACAUCCUUAGGGGAUGUUUUGAAAAAUUUUUGUGGAAUUUUCUUGGUCCCAGUAAUUAGUAAGCACUAUUAGCCUUAAAAUGAUAAAGGGCCACUGAGCUAGAUGUUCUGCAAUGGGCAAGACAAUUGCACACAAUGAAAAAUUGUCCCAAGUUCAAGUUUGGACAAGUUAGGGAUGUCCCUCCAGGCAUUUUUGUCAAUGAAAAACCUCUUUGUAACUGUCUUGGCAUAGAGCCUAACUCCAUAUAUACAUAUAACACAAAAUAUUUUUGCACAGUUUUAAUAUACACUAAAUUUUCCAGGGACACAAUUACAUAAAUUAAGGAAAGAUCAUGCUUUGCUGUGUUUGGAACUUAUCAAGAGUCAUUCACCAUUCUAGAAAAUAGCAUCAAAGAUGCAAUAUAGCUCUUGGUGUCUGAGUUGCCAGUUCAGCCAUCUGUGUCAAUCUGUAUUUGUAGAUAUUGCAGUCAAGGUGAUAUUAUUUUUAAGCAAAAGUGUCUGACAACUUUAUUAAGUUCCCCAAUGUAGCUGUGCCAUAGCAUUUUAGAUUAUUUUAAAUUGUAUAUUACUUUCCUUUUAUUUUUCCUCUAAUGAUAGAUACUUAGGGCAUUUUUUUUAAAAACCCAAUGAGAAGACAGGUUAUUUUAUCUAUGAGUUUCAUUUCAGGAUAGUAAAAGUGUAUUACAAAAUGCUGGUUGUAACAACGGGGACAUUAGGUUGCAAAGGACAGAAUGGGCUGGUAUGUCAGUAGCAUCUCUUUCCCCAAAGACCUCAGUUGUGACAUGUGAAACUCUAAUUGCUAUGUGAUGUUUCCAGUUGUAAG
This 2219-nucleotide long non-coding RNA is filed under the name Homo sapiens (human). Its description in RNAcentral is "HSALNT0173618". Lineage: Eukaryota; Metazoa; Chordata; Mammalia; Primates; Hominidae. The record is from RNAcentral.